Molecule: ribosomal RNA, 498 nt
Filed under: uncultured bacterium
Lineage: Bacteria
Description: partial 16S ribosomal RNA
Rfam family: Bacterial small subunit ribosomal RNA
Source: RNAcentral
GAUGAACGCUGGCGGCGUGCCUAAUACAUGCAAGUCGAGCGAACAGAUGAGGAGCUUGCUCCUCUGACGUUAGCGGCGGACGGGUGAGUAACACGUGGAUAACCUACCUAUAAGACUGGGAUAACUUCGGGAAACCGGAGCUAAUACCGGAUAAUAUAUUGAACCGCAUGGUUCAAUAGUGAAAGACGGUUUUGCUGUCACUUAUAGAUGGAUCCGCGCCGGAUUAGCUUGUUGGUGAGGUAACGGCUUACCAAGGCAACGAUGCGUAGCCGAACGGAGGGGGUGGGCAGCCAGACUGGGACUGAGACAGGGUACAGACGCACUCGGGAGGCAGCAGUAGGGCAACUUCCGCAAGGGGCGGAAGCCUGACGGAGCAACGCCGCGUGAGGAAGGAAGGACGUCGGAUCGUAAAACUCUGUUAUUAGGGAAGAACAAAUGUGUAAGUAACAAUGCGCGUGUUGGAGGUAACUAGGCAGAAAGCCACGGGUAACUUCGGGC